AGUGGGUGUAACGUACCUACUAGCCUACGACGGGUACGGGUUGUGAGAGCAAGAGCCCGGAGAUGGAUUCUGAGACACGAAUCCAGGCCCUACGGGGUGCAGCAGGCGCGAAAACUUUACAAUGCGGGAAACCGUGAUAAGGGAAUCUCGAGUGCCAGCAUAUAAUGUCGGCUGUCCAGAUGCCUAAAAAGCAUCUGUUAGCAAGGGCCGGGCAAGACCGGUGCCAGCCGCCGCGGUAACACCGGCGGCUCGAGUGGUAACCGUUAUUAUUGGGUCUAAAGGGUCUGUAGCCGGCCGGAUAAGUCUCUUGAGAAAUCUGGCAGCUUAACUGUCAGGCUUUCAGGAGAUACUGUCUGGCUCGAGGCCGGGAGAGGUGAGGGGUACUUCAGGGGUAGGGGUGAAAUCUUGUAAUCCUUGAAGGACCACCAGUGGCGAAGGCGUCUCACCAGAACGGACCUGACGGCAAGGGACGAAAGCUAGGGGCACGAACCGGAUUAGAU
This 500-nucleotide ribosomal RNA is filed under the name uncultured microorganism. RNAcentral's name for it is "bacterial SSU rRNA". It matches the Rfam family "Archaeal small subunit ribosomal RNA", at positions 234 to 734 of the family's 1478-position model. The record is from RNAcentral.